GCAACAACAACAACAACAACAACAGCAACAACAACAGCAACAACGACAGCGACACCCUCAGCACCAACAACGACACCCUCAGCACCAACAACGACAACAACAACAGCAGCAACAACAACAACAACAACAACAGCAACAACAACAGCAACAGCAACAGCAGGCUCUCCAGCACAUCAGCAGCGGCGCCACCACACUGACCAACGGCCUCGAGAGCUGUUGUGGAGGAGGGCCUCUGGUGGAGAUUCCGGCAGAGAACAGGGUCACUUGUGCCGCGGAGAUCCACAGACAGAAAAGUGUUACUGGACCCAGUACCACGGACAUACAUGGUCAUACAGAGACCACGUUAUAGGGGAAAGGGGAGAGAGAGGGAGGAGUGUGUGUGUGUGUGUGUGUGUGUGUGUGUGUGUGUGUGUGUGUGUGUGUGUGUGUGUGUGAUAAUGACGAUACAUAUUCAAAGUAAGAUAUCAGUUAAGAAGCAAAAAGUAAAAAUGGGUAAUAGCCUAUACUUUAUACUGAUUCGUCUUUCCUGCGAAAAAAAAUAAUAAUAAAGAAGCUUAAUGAUAUGAUCCCUA
This is a long non-coding RNA of Aplysia californica (California sea hare), 572 nucleotides long. RefSeq lists it as uncharacterized. Lineage: Eukaryota; Metazoa; Mollusca; Gastropoda; Aplysiida; Aplysiidae. The transcript is spliced from 2 exons. The record is from RefSeq and is a predicted model, not a curated record.